GUGCGCACUUCAGCAGCACAUAUACUAAAAUUGGAAUAAUACAGAGAAGACUAGCAUGCCCCCUGCACAAGGAUGAUUCAUGAAGUGUUAAAAAAAAAAAAAAACAAAU
Molecule: small nuclear RNA, 109 nt
Filed under: Canis lupus familiaris (dog)
Lineage: Eukaryota; Metazoa; Chordata; Mammalia; Carnivora; Canidae
Source: RNAcentral